AAGCCAGCCACUGAGUCUCUUACCUGCCAACUGUUUCUGCAGAACUUUAGAGAAAGUUGGCAAUAGUAAAACCAUGUUACGAGCGUUAAAGACCUUGAAGUCAUUAAGGUCACUGAAAAUAGCUAUAAGA
Artibeus jamaicensis (Jamaican fruit-eating bat) is the source of this 130-nucleotide small nucleolar RNA. RefSeq annotates it as small nucleolar RNA SNORA33. The record is from RefSeq and is a predicted model, not a curated record. The transcript has a single exon. Lineage: Eukaryota; Metazoa; Chordata; Mammalia; Chiroptera; Phyllostomidae.